RNAcentral lists this ribosomal RNA (645 nucleotides) under uncultured bacterium. RNAcentral's name for it is "bacterial SSU rRNA". It matches the Rfam family "Bacterial small subunit ribosomal RNA", at positions 10 to 687 of the family's 1533-position model. The record is from RNAcentral.
AGUUUGAUCAUGGCUCAGAACGAACGUUGGCGGCGUGCUUAACACAUGCAAGUCGAGCGAGAAGCCGGACUUCGGUCUGGUGGAGAGCGGCGCACGGGUGAGUAACACGUGGGUAAUCUGCCCCGAGGCCUGGGAUAACUCUCCGAAAGGAGGGCUAAUACCGGAUAUUCCUGCUUGCAGGGAAAGCUCCGGCGCCUCGGGAUGAGCCCGCGUCCCAUUAGGUAGNUGGUGGGGUAAGANCCUACCAAGCCGAAGAUGGGUAGCUGGUCUGAGAGGAUGAUCAGCCACACUGGGACUGAGACACGGCCCAGACUCCUACGGGAGGCAGCAGUGGGGAAUCUUGCGCAAUGGACGAAAGUCUGACGCAGCAACGCCGCGUGGGUGAUGAAGGNCUUCGGGUCGUAAAGCCCUGUCANAAGGGAAGAUAAUGACGGUACCUUCGAAGGAAGCACUGGCUAACUCCGUGCCAGCAGCCGCGGUAAUACGGAGAGUGCAAACGUUGUUCGGAAUCAUUGGGCGUAAAGCGCACGUAGGCGGCUAUGUAGGUCGGGUGUGAAAUCCCGGGGCUCAACCUCGGAAUUGCGCUCGAAACCCCGUAGCUAGAGUCAUGGAGGGAGAAGUGGAAUUCCUGGUGUAGGGUGAAAU